This 387-nucleotide ribosomal RNA is filed under the name uncultured bacterium. RNAcentral's name for it is "bacterial SSU rRNA". It matches the Rfam family "Bacterial small subunit ribosomal RNA", at positions 29 to 417 of the family's 1533-position model. The record is from RNAcentral.
AUUAAACGCUGGCGGCAUGCCUUACACAUGCAAGUCGAACGGCAGCACGGGGGCAACCCUGGUGGCGAGUGGCGGACGGGUGAGUAAAGCAUCGGAACGUAUCCUGGAGUGGGGGAUAACGUAGCGAAAGUUACGCUAAUACCGCAUAUUCUGUGAGCAGGAAAGCAGGGGAUCGCAAGACCUUGCGCUCUGGGAGCGGCCGAUGUCGGAUUAGCUAGUUGGUGGGGUAAAGGCCUACCAAGGCGACGAUCCGUAGCGGGUCUGAGAGGAUGAUCCGCCACACUGGGACUGAGACACGGCCCAGACUCCUACGGGAGGCAGCAGUGGGGAAUUUUGGACAAUGGGCGCAAGCCUGAUCCAGCCAUGCCGCGUGAGUGAAGAAGGCCU